AAAGUACAGAAAUUGCGUAGCAACCUGUUACUCUUUUUCUUGUAAUUUUUUAUUUAAUAUCAUUAUUCUUGUUUUAAAGCUUUUGAAGUUUAUGCCUAGUCAUGAGGAAAAAGUCCUUUUGGAAGAACAUAGCAUAGAAAUUGAUAAUAUGGCUAGAUCUGAUAGAUUUUUAUUUGAAAUAAGCAAGAAUGUUUCUGAAAACCGUGCUCAGAGAUAUGAGAUUUCAAUAAUGAAGUUCUUUUUAAAGUUUCUAUACAAAGUUUUUUGUGAGUACUGAUCUUUUAUGCAUAUCUCAUUCUUUUUCAGCGAAUAAUUUAAUCCCUACUCCCUAUUCUUAACUACUACUUUUUUAUGGGACUUACUUAGUUCAAAUUAGGAGGGGGGGGGAGGAUUCCUUUUCUGAGCCUUGCUUAGAACUUUAUGAAUCCAGGCGAAAAAAUUAUAUACUUCAAAAAAAUGAGACAUGUAACCAAUUGUUUUUUUAACAUAAAAGAAAAUUAAGAUGCAUAGAUUAAGAAUAAACUGGAAAUACUAUGAAAUGACAAAUAAAUGAAAGA
Non-coding RNA from Parasteatoda tepidariorum (common house spider), 557 nucleotides. The record is from RefSeq and is a predicted model, not a curated record. Lineage: Eukaryota; Metazoa; Arthropoda; Arachnida; Araneae; Theridiidae.